This 253-nucleotide long non-coding RNA is filed under the name Homo sapiens (human). Its description in RNAcentral is "HSALNT0243161". The record is from RNAcentral. Lineage: Eukaryota; Metazoa; Chordata; Mammalia; Primates; Hominidae.
GGCUGGGCGGCCGGCCGCCACCUGGGCCGGAGCGCGUCGCAGCCACCUGAGCCCGCCGAGGGCGCGGCGGAGGCUGUGUGGGGUAGUCAGCGGGCCCCCGGGGCGGGGGGGCGGCUGCGCUUGCGCGGGAGUGUGUCGGGCUGAGCCGCAGCGCCGAGACGCGGGCUGUUUGAUCUGGGCUGGUGGCCCUGGGCGUCGGUCCUGUUCCCCGAUGGUAACCCGAAGUUUGUUUUUUUUUGUUUUGUCUCCCCGU